CUAAGACCAUGUUUAUCAAAAUUCGGCCUAACGUCCAAAGUGAAUAAUUUUUUGUUAGAAAUAUUCUCUAACAUGUUCUUUUCCUAUAAUGUACUGGUUUUUAUAUGUAGAGUUGGUGAAAGAACACUAUUUUUAGGUUUACAUUACUAGUAUAAAUCCUAUAAUUUGCUCUACUUUUUAAGAUUGCGUCAUACAACGUCGCUAUAUAUUAUUAGAAGUGGUAACGUAUUGUAAAACAUAAUUAUGCAAUGAGUGGUUUAAUAUAUAAUAAGAUCUUGAAAAAGAAAUUUUCUUUCCCAAUACGCAAUAAGGUUAUUUUACUUAUAGCCCGAAUGGCACACCAUAUUUUUCAAUCCUUCAUUCGGCCAUUUUCACACGCCGCGCCAUUAGCCUGUUUGCGCUGUUCGUGGAAGUUGCAGAGGAUGUACUCAUCGCAUUUCAACGAUGAUAUAAUAUGUCCAGCAAAAAUUGAUGGCAAGGGUGACAUGAAUCAGAUUGACAAGAAUCCAUAUUCCUACUCCUCAAUAAUGCUAUCAUCACUGCCAUCAGAUUCAUCAAUGAUAGUGGCAUCAGUGACACAUGCAGAUAAGUGUUGGACAUCACUGCAGGAAUAGCUUCCUUGUUGUGCCUGCUAAUAGCAAGGUACCAGAUUAUACAGCAGUUAUGUGGAAACAGAUUCCCACAAUAGGGGGACCAGAUUGACACCUACAUUGUACAGUAUCAGGCAGUUAUAUCAGAACUGGAAAAACUGGAUCCAAACAAGACUAUAUUUCUUGGAAGAAACAUGUCGACUCUGAAGUUUAAACCUUAUUAACCCAUGACACUUCCAGAGACAUCCUGAUACUAUGGUUCUAUGUCAUUUGAAAUAUACCUGUGGAGGUUUUUAAAGUGUUUUUUUUUGGGGGGGGGGGGUUAUUAAUUGGAAGAAUUCAUAUUUGAUGAUUCAAAUGAAAAUCUGCAUGUUGAAUUAUGAAUGUCAUAAUGUACUUUUUGAAUGAGUUCAAGAAUGGUUGUCCUGAUGAAAAGUGCAGAGUCAAAAGUUAACAAAUUGUCAAAAACACUGGUCCGGUCUGAAUUCAUCAUCUUGGACACCUUGCAGUUGGAAUUAUGAUCUCUAUGAAGAAAUGCUGAAAAUCUUGCAAAAGAGGAAAUGAUAAGUUGGGGUCCAAGGCACUUGCAUAUAUAUGCAUGAGAAGGUGUUUUAUCUAGGCUUGAGGUCAAUUACAUAGCAAUGUAACACCUUACAUUACCUAGAAAAUUUCACAUUACCAUUACUCCUAUUUUGAAAUAUAAUGUAUUACAUUACUUGAGAGUGAAUUUACAUUACACAUUUACAUAACAGAUAUUAAAGAAAUGGCAGAAAAAUUAUUUCUGUAUUAUGAUUUUUAAUUAUACAUUAACAUAAGUACACUAAAUAUUCAGCAAUGUUAGGAAACAUAUCUAUUAAGUUAUUCAUUGCAUUUGAUUGUCAUCAAUGUUUCAAAUGCUUCAGUCAAUCACCAAUAUAAUGAAUUAUUCUAAAUCUGCAAAAUAUCAUCAAAUAUUUGAAGUAGUGUAAAUGUAAUGGAAAAUAAUGUGCAGUACAGUAUGCAUUACAUUACAUGUACCAUUACUUGUAAUACAAAAAUGGUCCAUUACAUUGUACACCCCCAUUACAUUGAAACUGGCUGUCAUUUAAUUACCAUUACCCCAGGCCUGGUUCUGUCGAGAGGUAUUGAAAUUGUCUGUAGAGACUUUGUCUCAGGAAGUGGCCGAGAUUGAUUGUGACAAUUUUGUUGGAUGUGAAUUUACUGACACACAUGUCUACACUUGCUACACAAUAUAUCAUGUGGUGGUUUCAACAAGAAAGUUCUUACUCUGCAGGAAAUGACGAAUAGCUAAUGGAUUCACAUUUUUUCUGACUUUUCUUCUGUACAUUAGAUGCAUUGGAAAAACUUUCCUUUCCAUUAUCUUUUGCUGGUUCAUACUUUGAAAUAAAAUCAAGUCCGAAAAUAAA
This is a long non-coding RNA of Ostrea edulis (European flat oyster), 1996 nucleotides long. RefSeq lists it as uncharacterized. Lineage: Eukaryota; Metazoa; Mollusca; Bivalvia; Ostreida; Ostreidae. The record is from RefSeq and is a predicted model, not a curated record. The transcript is spliced from 2 exons.